CCGAGUCUCGGGUCUCUUCGAGAUCCUACUCCAACCCUAUGUUUACAUGUCUCGUUGCCUCGGCGGGCCCGCGGGUCUCCCAAGACCCCGGUCGGUCUCCUCAGACUGAUCAGCGUCCGCCGAUGGAUUUUUUAACGCCUGUUUAACCAUCCUCUGAUGAAAACAAAAAUGAAUCA
RNAcentral lists this unclassified non-coding RNA (176 nucleotides) under uncultured fungus. RNAcentral describes it as "sequence contains ITS1, 5.8S rRNA gene". Lineage: Eukaryota; Fungi. The record is from RNAcentral.